CUGGGCGUAAAGAGCUCGUAGGUGGUUUGUCGCGUUGUUCGUGAAAUCUCACGGCUUAACUGUGAGCGUGCGGGCGAUACGGGCAGACUUGAGUACUGCAGGGGAGACUGGAAUUCCUGGUGUAGCGGUGGAAUGCGCAGAUAUCAGGAGGAACACCGGUGGCGAAGGCGGGUCUCUGGGCAGUAACUGACGCUGAGGAGCGAAAGCGUGGGGAGCGAACAGGAUUAGAUACCCUGGUAGUCCACGCCGUAAACGGUGGGUACUAGGUGUGGGUUUCCUUCCUUGGGAUCCGUGCCGUAGCUAACGCAUUAAGUACCCCGCCUGGGGAGUACGGCCGCAAGGCUAAAACUCAAAGAAAUUGACGGGGGCCCGCACAAGCGGCGGAGCAUGUGGAUUAAUUCGAUGCAACGCGAAGAACCUUACCUGGGUUUGACAUGCACAGGACGCCGGCAGAGAUGUCGGUUCCCUUGUGGCCUGUGUGCAGGUGGUGCAUGGCUGUCGUCAGCUCGUGUCGUGAGAUGUUGGGUUAAGUCCCGCAACGAGCGCAACCCUUGUCUCAUGUUGCCAGCGGGUAAUGCCGGGGACUCGUGAGAGACUGCCGGGGUCAACUCGGAGGAAGGUGGGGAUGACGUCAAGUCAUCAUGCCCCUUAUGUCCAGGGCUUCACACAUGCUACAAUGGCCGGUACAAAGGGCUGCGAUGCCGCGAGGUUAAGCGAAUCCUUUUAAAGCCGGUCUCAGUUCGGAUCGGGGUCUGCAACUCGACCCCGUGAAGUCGGAGUCG
Molecule: ribosomal RNA, 782 nt
Filed under: uncultured Mycobacterium sp.
Lineage: Bacteria; Bacillati; Actinomycetota; Actinomycetes; Mycobacteriales; Mycobacteriaceae
Description: bacterial SSU rRNA
Rfam family: Bacterial small subunit ribosomal RNA
Source: RNAcentral